GAUCCGUAGUCGAAAGGGAAACAGCCCAGACCACCAGUUAAGGUCCCCAAAUAUAUGUUAAGUGGAAAAGGAUGUGGGGUUGCUUAGACAACCAGGAUGUUGGCUUAGAAGCAGCCACCAUUGAAAGAGUGCGUAAUAGCUCACUGGUCGAGUGACCCCGCGCCGAAAAUGUACCGGGGCUAAACAUAUUACCGAAACUGUGGAUGAACCUCUUUAGAGGUUCGUGGUAGGAGAGCGUUCUAAGGGCGGUGAAGUCAGACCGGAAGGACUGGUGGAGCGCUUAGAAGUGAGAAUGCCGGUAUGAGUAGCGAAAGAAGGGUGAGAAUCCCUUCCACCGAAUAUCUAAGGUUUCCUGAGGAAGGCUCGUCCGCUCAGGGUUAGUCGGGACCUAAGCCGAGGCCGAUAGGCGUAGGCGAUGGACAACAGGUAGAGAUUCCUGUACCAGUGCUAAUUGUUUAACCGAUGGGGUGACACAGAAGGAUAGGGAAUCGCACGAAUGGAAAUGUGCGUCCAAGCAGUGAGUGUGAGAAGUAGGCAAAUCCGCUUCUCGCGAAGCAUGAGCUGUGAUGGGGAAGGAAAUUAAGUACGGAAGUUCCUGAUUUCACGCUGUCAAGAAAAGCCUCUAGGAAGAGUAGUACUGCCCGUACCGCAAACCGACACAGGUAGAUGAGGAGAGAAUCCUAAGGUGAGCGAGAGAACUCUCGUUAAGGAACUCGGCAAAAUGACCCCGUAACUUCGGGAGAAGGGGUGCUCUAUUAGGGUGCAAGCCCGAGAGAGCCGCAGUGAAUAGGCCCAGGCGACUGUUUAGCAAAAACACAGGUCUCUGCAAAACCGUAAGGUGACGUAUAGGGGCUGACGCCUGCCCGGUGCUGGAAGGUUAAGAGGAGUGCUUAGCUUCGGCGAAGGUACGAAUUGAAGCCCCAGUAAACGGCGGCCGUAACUAUAACGGUCCUAAGGUAGCGAAAUUCCUUGUCGGGUAAGUUCCGACCCGCACGAAAGGCGCAACGAUCUGGGCACUGUCUCAACGAGAGACUCGGUGAAAUUAUAGUACCUGUGAAGAUGCAGGUUACCCGCGACAGGACGGAAAGACCCCGUGGAGCUUUACUGCAACCUGAUAUGGAAUGUUUGUACCGCUUGUACAGGAUAGGUAGGAGCCGAAGAGACGUGUGCGCUAGCAUACGAGGAGGCAAUGGUGGGAUACUACCCUGGCUGUAUGACCAUUCUAACCCGCCACGCUUAGCGCGUGGGGAGACAGUGUCAGGUGGGCAGUUUGACUGGGGCGGUCGCCUCCUAAAGAGUAACGGAGGCGCCCAAAGGUUCCCUCAGAAUGGAUGGAAAUCAUUCGCAGAGUGUAAAGGCACAAGGGAGCUUGACUGCGAGACUGACAAGUCGAGCAGGGACGAAAGUCGGGCUUAGUGAUCCGGUGGUUCCGCAUGGAAGGGCCAUCGCUCAACGGAUAAAAGCUACCCCGGGGAUAACAGGCUUAUCUCCCCCAAGAGUCCACAUCGACGGGGAGGUUUGGCACCUCGAUGUCGGCUCGUCGCAUCCUGGGGCUGUAGUCGGUCCCAAGGGUUGGGCUGUUCGCCCAUUAAAGCGGCACGCGAGCUGGGUUCAGAACGUCGUGAGACAGUUCGGUCCCUAUCCGUCGCGGGCGCAGGAAAUUUGAGAGGAGCUGUCCUUAGUACGAGAGGACCGGGAUGGACACACCGCUGGUGUACCAGUUGUUCCGCCAGGAGCAUCGCUGGGUAGCUAUGUGUGGCAGGGAUAAACGCUGAAAGCAUCUAAGCGUGAAGCCCCCCUCAAGAUGAGAUUUCCCAUUUCUUCGGAAAGUAAGAUCCCUGAAAGAUGAUCAGGUAGAUAGGUU
This 1864-nucleotide ribosomal RNA is filed under the name Listeria monocytogenes. RNAcentral describes it as "partial 23S ribosomal RNA". It matches the Rfam family "Bacterial large subunit ribosomal RNA", at positions 1002 to 2862 of the family's 2925-position model. Lineage: Bacteria; Bacillati; Bacillota; Bacilli; Caryophanales; Listeriaceae. The record is from RNAcentral.